Non-coding RNA from Mycena vulgaris, 96 nucleotides. The record is from the annotation of a GenBank genome assembly. NCBI's taxonomy places the organism in Eukaryota, Fungi, Basidiomycota, Agaricomycetes, Agaricales, Mycenaceae.
GGCUCGGUGGUGGAGGGUCCGCAUCUGCUUUCAAUAAAGCUUAACUGUAUGUAUCAUACACAGCAGAGAAUGCCUGUUCAACUCAGGUCCGAGCCA